GAUGAACGCUAGCGGCAGGCCUAACACAUGCAGUUGAGGGAGAAGGCCCUUUGGGGGGAGGAAACGGCGCAAGGGUGCGUUAAGCGUAUUCAAACUAACUUUUAAAGGGGGAUUGGCCGGAGAAAUUUGGAUUUAUUACCCAUAAUAAUAAUGGAUGGCAACAUUUGAUUAUUUAAACUGCGGGGGUGAAAGAUUGGCAUGCGUCCUAUUAGCUAGUUGGAGUGGUAACGGCACCCCAAGGCUACGAUAGGUAGGGGUCCUGAGAGGGAGAUCCCCCACACUGGUACUGAGACAGGGACCAGACUCCUACGGGAGGCAGCAGUGAGGAAUAUUGGUCAAUGGUCGGAAGACUGAACCAGCCAUGCCGCGUGCAGGAAGAAUGCCUUAUGGGUUGUAAACUGCUUUUAUAUGGGAAGAAUAAGGCGUACGUGUACGUUGAUGACGGUACCAUAUGAAUAAGCAUCGGCUAACUCCGUG
RNAcentral lists this ribosomal RNA (477 nucleotides) under uncultured bacterium. RNAcentral describes it as "partial 16S ribosomal RNA". It matches the Rfam family "Bacterial small subunit ribosomal RNA", at positions 28 to 507 of the family's 1533-position model. The record is from RNAcentral.